GGGGGGUUUGAGAGGGGAGGAAUGGGGUCAUGGCUGUAGCCAGAUAGUGGUCCUCAACCAUGGUGGCAAAGCGACCACUAAAGAGGAGGAAGAAGGAAAAAGUCAUUAGAGCUUAGUGGUGGCUCAAUCGGUGAGAAAAAAGAGAUUAAAUAGAAGGAUUUAGACGGAGAUAAGCACAAUAUUUUUGCAUCUACCUGCGAAUCCAAUGGCAAUUAAGAGCAACCCCAAUGGCCAAGCGAUCACUCUAUAUGGGCCCAACAGGAUCUUCACAGGCCAUGGCUGUUCUA
Molecule: long non-coding RNA, 287 nt
Filed under: Elaeis guineensis (African oil palm)
Lineage: Eukaryota; Viridiplantae; Streptophyta; Magnoliopsida; Arecales; Arecaceae
Description: long non-coding RNA (EGUI_LNC028068)
Source: RNAcentral